AAGAGGNUGUAGCUGGCCUUUCGGGGCAUUGUGCACACCUUGCUCAAUUCCAACUCUUAACACCUGUGCACUCAUUGUAGGUUGACUUUCGAGAGAGUAUUCUUUAUGGGGUACGCUUAAGUGGUCUUCCUAUGUUUAUAACAAACUCUUAUUUUAUUUGAAUGUCACUUUGCGCUAUUAAUAACGCAUGAAAUAUAACUUUCAGCAACGGAUCUCUUGGCUCUCGCAUCGAUGAAGAACGCAGCGAAAUGCGAUAAGUAAUGUGAAUUGCAGAAUUCAGUGAAUCAUCGAAUCUUUGAACGCAUCUUGCGCCCUUUGGUAUUCCGAAGGGCAUGCCCGUUUGAGUGUCAUUGUAUUAUCAAAUCCCUUCAUUCUUGUGAAGUGGGUAUUGGAUUUGGAGGUCUUUGCGGGUUUCACUGUAAAUCUGCUCCUCUUGAAUACAUUAGCUAGAAACCUUUUGUUAGGCUGGCUUCAGUGUGAUAAUUGUCUGCACUGUAGUCGUCUAGCACUUGUAUAAAGGAUUUUGCUUCUUAAUCGUCUUUUCUUAAGACAAUCUUGACAUCUGACCUCAAAUCGGGUAGGACUACCCGCUGAACUUAAGCAUAUCAAUAAGCGGAGGAAAAGAAACUAACAAGGAUUCCCCUAGUAACUGCGAGUGAAGCGGGAAAAGCUCAAAUUUAAAAUCUGGCGGUUUUGGCCGUCCGAGUUGUAGUCUGGAGAAGUGCUUUCCGCGCUGGACCGUGUACAAGUCUCUUGGAACAGAGCGUCAUAGAGGGUGAGAAUCCCGUCUUUGACACGGACUACCAGUGCUUUGUGAUGCGCUCUCAAAGAGU
This 833-nucleotide ribosomal RNA is filed under the name fungal sp. Mx516. RNAcentral describes it as "eukaryotic LSU rRNA". The stretch from base 564 to 833 matches the Rfam family "Eukaryotic large subunit ribosomal RNA", at positions 1 to 265 of the family's 3401-position model. Lineage: Eukaryota; Fungi. The record is from RNAcentral.